GUGCCAGCAGCCGCGGUAAUACGUAGGUCCCGAGCGUUGUCCGGAUUUAUUGGGCGUAAAGCGAGCGCAGGCGGUUUGAUAAGUCUGAAGUUAAAGGCUGUGGCUCAACCAUAGUUCGCUUUGGAAACUGUCAAACUUGAGUGCAGAAGGGGAGAGUGGAAUUCCAUGUGUAGCGGUGAAAUGCGUAGAUAUAUGGAGGAACACCGGUGGCGAAAGCGGCUCUCUGGUCUGUAACUGACGCUGAGGCUCGAAAGCGUGGGGAGCGAAC
Molecule: ribosomal RNA, 268 nt
Filed under: uncultured Streptococcaceae bacterium
Lineage: Bacteria; Bacillati; Bacillota; Bacilli; Lactobacillales; Streptococcaceae
Description: partial 16S ribosomal RNA
Rfam family: Bacterial small subunit ribosomal RNA
Source: RNAcentral